Molecule: ribosomal RNA, 498 nt
Filed under: uncultured archaeon
Lineage: Archaea
Description: bacterial SSU rRNA
Rfam family: Bacterial small subunit ribosomal RNA
Source: RNAcentral
ACUCAAAUGAAUAGACGGGGACCCGCACAAGCGGUGGAGCAUGUGGUUUAAUUCGACGCAACGCGAAGAACCUUACCUGCUCUUGACAUCCUCUUGACCGGUCCGUAAUGGGACCUUCCCUUCGGGGCAAGAGUGACAGGUGGUGCAUGGUUGUCGUCAGCUCGUGUCGUGAGAUGUUGGGUUAAGUCCCGCAACGAGCGCAACCCCUAUCUUUAGUAGCCAGCAGUUCGGCUGGGCACUCUAGAGAGACUGCCAGGGAUAACCUGGAGGAAGGUGGGGAUGACGUCAAAUCAUCAUGCCCCUUAUGAGCAGGGCUACACACGUGCUACAAUGGCGUAAACAAAGAGAAGCAAAGUCGCGAGGCCGAGCAAAUCUCAAAAAUAACGUCUCAGUUCGGAUUGUAGUCUGCAACUCGACUACAUGAAGCUGGAAUCGCUAGUAAUCGCAAAUCAGAAUGUUGCGGUGAAUACGUUCCCGGGUCUUGUACACACCGCCCGU